GGGACAACCCGCCGAAAGGCGGGCUAAACCCGCGUACAUGCCACCGGGGCAUCCCGGAGGCAGGAAAGGCUUCGGCCGGACAGGGAUGGGCAUGCGGCGCAUUAGGCAGUAGGCGGGGUAACGGCCCACCUAACCGACGAUGCGUAGGGGUUCUGAGAGGAAGGUCCCCCACACUGGUACUGAGACACGGACCAGACUCCUACGGGAGGCAGCAGUGAGGAAUAUUGGUCAAUGGUCGGGAGACUGAACCAGCCAAGCCGCGUGAGGGAUGAAGGUACAGAGUAUCGUAAACCUCUUUUGUCAGGGAACAAAGGUGGGGACGUGUCCCCGGAUGAGUGUACCUGAAGAAAAAGCAUCGGCUAACUCCGUGCCAGCAGCCGCGGUAAUACGGAGGAUGCGAGCGUUAUCCGGAUUUAUUGGGUUUAAAGGGUGCGCAGGCGGUCUGUUAAGUCAGCGGUCAAAGCCCGGGGCUCAACCCCGGUCCGCCGUUGAAACUGGCAGUCUCGAGUUGGAGAGAAGUAUGCGGAAUGCGCGGUGUAGCGGUGAAAUGCAUAGAUAUCGCGCAGAACUCCGAUUGCGAAGGCAGCAUGCCGGCUCCACACUGACGCUGAGGCACGAAAGCGUGGGUAUCGAACAGGAUUAGAUACCCUGGUAGUCCACGCAGUAAAC
RNAcentral lists this ribosomal RNA (669 nucleotides) under uncultured bacterium. RNAcentral's name for it is "bacterial SSU rRNA". It matches the Rfam family "Bacterial small subunit ribosomal RNA", at positions 140 to 807 of the family's 1533-position model. The record is from RNAcentral.